Molecule: ribosomal RNA, 406 nt
Filed under: uncultured bacterium
Lineage: Bacteria
Description: partial 16S ribosomal RNA
Rfam family: Bacterial small subunit ribosomal RNA
Source: RNAcentral
GACGAACGCUGGCGGCAGGCCUAACACAUGCAAGUCGAACGAGUGGCGGACGGGUGAGUAAUGUCUGGGAAACUGCCUGAUGUAGGGGGAUAACUACUGGACACGGUAGCUAAUACCGCAUACCAUCAGAUGUGCCCAGAUGGGAUUAGCUUGUUGGUGGGGUAACGGCUCACCAAGGCGACGAUCCCUAGCUGGUCUGAGAGGAUGACCAGCAAAACUGGAACUGAGACACGGUACAGACUCCUACGGGAGGCAGCAGUGGGGAAUAUUGCACAAUGGGCGCAAGCCUGAUGCAGCCAUGCCGCGUGUAUGAAGAAGGCCUUCGGGUUGUAAAGUAAUUUCAGCGGGGAGGCGUUACCCGCAGAAGAAGCACCGGCUAACGCCGUGCCAGCAGCCGCGGUAAUUC